RNAcentral lists this ribosomal RNA (2885 nucleotides) under Rhodocyclaceae bacterium. RNAcentral describes it as "23S ribosomal RNA". It matches the Rfam family "Bacterial large subunit ribosomal RNA". The record is from RNAcentral. Lineage: Bacteria; Pseudomonadati; Pseudomonadota; Betaproteobacteria; Rhodocyclales; Rhodocyclaceae.
GGUCAAGUGACUAAGUGCAUGUGGUGGAUGCCUUGGCGAUUACAGGCGAUGAAGGACGUUGUAGCCUGCGAAAAGCUGCGGGGAGCUGGCAAACAAGCUUUGAUCCGCAGAUGUCCGAAUGGGGAAACCCACUCCGCAAGGAGUAUCCCAGACUGAAUACAUAGGUCUGAGGAAGCGAACCCGGCGAACUGAAACAUCUAAGUAGCCGGAGGAAAAGAAAUCAACCGAGAUUCCCUGAGUAGUGGCGAGCGAACGGGGAAGAGCCUGCAAGAGAUAACUGGUGCGUUAGCGGAACAGUCUGGAAAGGCUGGCCAUAGUGGGUGAUAGCCCCGUACGCGAAAACCUGCCAGCGAGACUAAGUUUGCGACAAGUAGGGCGGGACACGUGAAAUCCUGUCUGAAGAUGGGGGGACCAUCCUCCAAGGCUAAAUACUCGUAAUCGACCGAUAGUGAACUAGUACCGUGAGGGAAAGGCGAAAAGAACCCCGGGAGGGGAGUGAAAUAGAUCCUGAAACCGCAUGCAUACAAACAGUGGGAGCCUCGCAAGGGUGACUGCGUACCUUUGUAUAAUGGGUCAGCGACUUACGUUCAGUAGCGAGCUUAACCGAAUAGGGGAGGCGUAGGGAAACCGAGUCUGAUAAGGGCGAUUUAGUUGCUGGGCGUAGACCCGAAACCAAGUGAUCUAUCCAUGGCCAGGAUGAAGGUGCCGUAACAGGUACUGGAGGUCCGAACCCACUAACGUUGAAAAGUUAGGGGAUGAGCUGUGGAUAGGGGUGAAAGGCUAAACAAACUUGGAAAUAGCUGGUUCUCCCCGAAAGCUAUUUAGGUAGCGCCUCAUGUAUCACCAUCGGGGGUAGAGCACUGUAAUGGUUGGAGGGGUCAUCGCGAUCUACUCCGCCAUAGCAAACUCCGAAUACCGAUGAGUGCGAGCAUGGGAGACAGACCAGUGGGUGCUAACGUCCAUGGUCAAGAGGGAAACAACCCAGACCGCCAGCUAAGGUCCCAAAGCCAUGGUUAAGUGGAAAACGAGGUGGGAAGGCAUAGACAGUCAGGAGGUUGGCUUAGAAGCAGCCACCCUUUAAAGAAAGCGUAAUAGCUCACUGAUCGAGUCGUCCUGCGCGGAAGAUGUAACGGGGCUCAAACCAUGCACCGAAGCUGCGGAUAUCCGUAAGGAUAUGGUAGGGGAGCGUUCUGUAAGUCUGUGAAGGUGUCUUGUAAAGGAUGCUGGAGAUAUCAGAAGUGCGAAUGCUGACAUGAGUAGCGAUAAAGCGUGUGAAAAGCACGCUCGCCGAAAGCCAAAGGUUUCCUGCGCAACGUUCAUCGGCGCAGGGUGAGUCGGUCCCUAAGGCGAGGCCGAAAGGCGUAGUCGAUGGAAAACAGGUUAAUAUUCCUGUACCGCAGUCAUGACUGCGAUGGGGAGACGGAGAAGGUUAGCUCAGCCGGGUGUUGGACGUCCCGGUUUAAGCGUGUAGGCGUGCUGUCUAGGAAAAUCCGGACGGCUUAGCUGAGGCGUGAUGACGAGGCACUUCGGUGCUGAAGUGAGUAAUACCCUGCUUCCAGGAAAAGCCUCUAAGCUUCAGUCUGUGACGACCGUACCGCAAACCGACACAGGUGGGCAGGAUGAAAAUUCUAAGGCGCUUGAGAGAACUCAGGAGAAGGAACUCGGCAAAUUGAUACCGUAACUUCGGGAGAAGGUAUGCCUCGGUAGUGUGUAGCGGCUUGCCCGCGAAGCACGAUGAGGCCGCAGAGAAUCGGUGGCUGCGACUGUUUAAUAAAAACACAGCACUCUGCAAAGACGAAAGUCGACGUAUAGGGUGUGACGCCUGCCCGGUGCCGGAAGGUUAAGUGAUGGGGUGCAAGCUCUUGAUCGAAGCCCCGGUAAACGGCGGCCGUAACUAUAACGGUCCUAAGGUAGCGAAAUUCCUUGUCGGGUAAGUUCCGACCUGCACGAAUGGCGUAACGAUGGCCACACUGUCUCCUCCUGAGACUCAGCGAAGUUGAAAUGUUUGUGAAGAUGCAAUCUACCCGCGGCUAGACGGAAAGACCCCAUGAACCUUUACUGUAGCUUUGCAUUGGACUUUGACGGGACUUGUGUAGGAUAGGUGGGAGGCUGUGAGACGUGGUCGCCAGAUCGCGUGGAGCCAACCUUGAAAUACCACCCUGGUGUCGUUGAGGUUCUAACCUCGACCCGUGAAUCCGGGUCAGGGACCGUGCAUGGCAGGCAGUUUGACUGGGGCGGUCUCCUCCCAAAGUGUAACGGAGGAGUACGAAGGUCUUCUAGGUACGGUCGGACAUCGUACUGAUAGUGCAAUGGCAUAAGAAGGCUUGACUGCGAGACCCACAAGUCGAGCAGGUGCGAAAGCAGGUCAUAGUGAUCCGGUGGUUCUGUAUGGAAGGGCCAUCGCUCAACGGAUAAAAGGUACUCUGGGGAUAACAGGCUGAUUCCGCCCAAGAGUUCAUAUCGACGGCGGAGUUUGGCACCUCGAUGUCGGCUCAUCACAUCCUGGGGCUGUAGCCGGUCCCAAGGGUAUGGCUGUUCGCCAUUUAAAGUGGUACGUGAGCUGGGUUUAAAACGUCGUGAGACAGUUUGGUCCCUAUCUGCCGUGGGCGCUGGAAAUUUGAGAGGGCCUGCUCCUAGUACGAGAGGACCGGAGUGGACGGAUCUCUGGUGUACCGGUUGUGACGCCAGUCGCAUCGCCGGGUAGCUAAAUCCGGAAGAGAUAAACGCUGAAAGCAUCUAAGCGUGAAACUCGCCUCAAGAUGAGAUUUCCCGGGGACUCGAUCCCCCUGAAGGGUCGUCGUAGACCACGACGUUGAUAGGCUGGGUGUGGAAGCGCAGUAAUGCGUUAAGCUAACCAGUACUAAUUGCCCGUGCGGCUUGACCCU